Molecule: small RNA, 1955 nt
Filed under: Malus domestica (apple)
Lineage: Eukaryota; Viridiplantae; Streptophyta; Magnoliopsida; Rosales; Rosaceae
Description: sRNA MD09G0193100
Source: RNAcentral
UGAAUCAAAUAUUAAUUUUUUUUGAGAAUAUUCCCCGUCUCUCAUUCACUUUCCUCUUCUCGCUCUCAGACUUCUCCCAUCUCUCCAUCACCGUGACCUAAAAUCCGCUGGCCGUCUCAUCCCUCAAUUUUGUUCUGUCUUUACUACAACAGUACCAGGAUCUUCCGAGCCAAUCGCUCAGAUCCUCUCUCAUCCCUUCGCUCUCUAUCACUCUCCACAACCAAAAACCCUAGAGACCUAUUCAACCAACAAGCCAAAUUCAUGCCCCGCACCAACCAGACUACCUCGAUUUGUCGUCCAAUAGUUCUCCUUUUGUUCAAUUAUGAUUUUUGUGCUGGAUUCAAAGGAUAAUUGCCCCCAAAAUUGAGCAAACCAGUAGCCUUCCUCCUCCACAUCCGUCUUCCUCUCUCUGUCAUGCUCCAUAAACAACCCAAUUCCACGCCAUAAGUCCCACACCAACGAGACUGCCUUUGUGUCCACGAAUCGUUGAAGGGAUUUUGCUUAUUUGAGGAUGUUUUCAAGCAAAAUUUAUAUAAUCGUAAGAAACAAAAGUAUUACCACAAGGAGGGGCAAACCAUUUCAUCCAGCAUGCAAGGAAGGCUCACAAGGUAAUGAAAUUAAAGUACAUAUAAAACUCAUUGUGUAAUUUAGGUAGGCAUGUUAUUGAUAUGGGUUUGAGAUGGGUGGUGGGUAAUGGUAAGGAGAUUCUCUUAUGGACUCAUUGUUGGGUUUUUUCUUACCCGUUGUUCCAUCUUAUACCAGAAACACAAAAGCAGAAUAUCAAUUGUAAUUUAUGGGUAAGUGACUUUUUGAAUAAAUUAUUAAGUAUUCUGGAUGCUGAUAUUGUCAAGAAAAUUUGUCUUGUGAUCAUUCUUCUGGAGAGUUCUCUAUUAAAUCAGCGGGAUUCAAAGGAAUAGUAACCAAACUGUCAACUGGAAAAAAUUGCUCAAGCAAAUGUGGAAGCUAACGAUUCUGCCAAAGUUAAAAUCUUUGCUUAGAUUUUGAUCAAUGGUAAAUUGAAUACAAAAGACAGACUUGGCAGGUUUAUUCGUACUUUAGAUAAGUCUUGCCCUAUUUGUGGUACGGAGGAGGAAAAUCAAACGCACCUGUUUCUUAAUUGUGAGUUUGCAAAAAAACGUGUAGACGUUGUCCUCUUUAUGUCCUUGGUCGAAUAAUUCAAUCCAUUGGAAUAAUGCUAUUGGGCGGCUUAAUUUUCUCUACAGCUCUACAAAAAAGGGUUAUUGGAACUUAAUAAACCCCUUUUACAUUGCUGGCAAAUCUGGAAUGAAAGGAAUAAUACGGUGUUUCGCAGUGUGGCCUUAUUCCUGCCAAGAUGUGUGUCCGUUGCUGCCAAGUUAGGACUGGAUUACUUUUAAUCAAAUGCCAAGAUUGUGGAGUCAAAUUUGUUGUUGCAUCAAGGCCUUAUUCGCUAGAGGUCCCCUGAUUAGGGUUGGUUAAAAUUAAAUUUUGAUGGGUCGGAGACUCAAGGAAAGGCUGGAGUGGGUUUUGUGGUGUGAAAUGACUAGGGAUUGACGGUGGGAGCUGGGGCCUGCAAUUUGGAUGGGGCCACUAUCUCGGUUGCGGAGGCUGUGGCCCUUUAGGAGGGCCUCUUAUUCACAAGACGGAAAGACAUCAAGAGGCUGGAGGUUGAAGGUGACUCCCUGUUAAUAUAAAUCUAGUGACUGGGAUAUGGAAACCCUAUUGGCAUCUCCUUUCUACUAUCGAAGACAUUAAAUGGCUGGCUACUAGUUUUCACUCUAUUCGUUGGAGGCAUAUAUUUAGGGAAGCCAACUUUGUGGCUAAUAAGAUGGCUGAUGUGGGGGUGGCGGUUUCGAACCCUCACUUUUGGGACCAUUGUCUCCUUACUUCAGUUUUAGUAGCUUUUAACUUUGACUGUAUCGGUACUGGUUGGUCUGGAAGUUUCCCUAUUUAAUAAAUUUAUUUCUCAUAAAAAA